GGAGAAAUAGAGAAGUCGGAUAAGGCCUUUGAUGGAAGAGGUAAAAGAGACUAUGCAGCCACAUAAAGAAAGGGUGCUCCUGGAUCAAAGCAGGGAUUACAAGGGAACUUCCGGCCCUGGUGGAGCAUGAGGGUCUGUCUGCACUCACAGGUCCCAUGAUUCCAUGGAGCACAAAGGCACGAGAGGCAAAGUGAAAGAAUGACUGCAAAACUGACAGGGAAAAUAAAGAUUCUAAACUAAGAUAAUAGAAACAUGA
Eptesicus fuscus (big brown bat) is the source of this 256-nucleotide long non-coding RNA. RefSeq lists it as uncharacterized. The record is from RefSeq and is a predicted model, not a curated record. Lineage: Eukaryota; Metazoa; Chordata; Mammalia; Chiroptera; Vespertilionidae. The transcript is spliced from 2 exons.